GCCUGGGUGGCUCAGUCGGCUGAGCGUCUGACUUCAGCUCAGGUCAUGACCUCACGGUUCGUGAGUUCGAGCCCUGCGUCGGGCU
Molecule: non-coding RNA, 85 nt
Organism: Felis catus (domestic cat)
Lineage: Eukaryota; Metazoa; Chordata; Mammalia; Carnivora; Felidae
Source: Rfam